This 288-nucleotide unclassified non-coding RNA is filed under the name Hevea brasiliensis (rubber tree). The record is from RNAcentral. Lineage: Eukaryota; Viridiplantae; Streptophyta; Magnoliopsida; Malpighiales; Euphorbiaceae.
CAUCCAUUUUGGUUAGAUUGAUUCUGUUUUCCGGGUGACUGCAAGCCAUAAUCAGAAGAUCCUGCAAUGCUCGGCUUUGCAAUGGCUUUGGUGCAUAUGGAAGUGAUCUUAAAAGAAUCAAUAAAAGUUGGAUAUGCUCAAACCGAUGCCCAGAGUCAUAGAAGUUCAACCCUUCAUCUGUUGACGAGGCAUUUAUCGAGGCGCCCAAUAAAGCUGUGUAUACUCUGCUAGUCAUGAGCCUAUUUGGUGCUGCCUGGAAGGCCUUUUGUAAUGCAAAAAGUAGAAGGG